CACGUAGGGGGCAAGCGUUGUCCGGAAUCAUUGGGCGUAAAGAGCUCGUAGGCGGCUCGGUAAGUCGGGUGUGAAACCCCCCAGGCUCAACCUGGGGGACGCCACCCGAUACUGCUGUGGCUAGAGUCCAGUAGGGGAGUGUGGAAUUCCCGGUGUAGCGGUGAAAUGCGCAGAUAUCGGGAGGAACACCAGCGGCGAAGGCGGCACUCUGGGCUGGAACUGACGCUGAGGAGCGAAAGCGUGGGUAGCAAACAGG
Molecule: ribosomal RNA, 256 nt
Filed under: uncultured bacterium
Lineage: Bacteria
Description: partial 16S ribosomal RNA
Rfam family: Bacterial small subunit ribosomal RNA
Source: RNAcentral